Molecule: long non-coding RNA, 240 nt
Filed under: Lathyrus oleraceus (garden pea)
Lineage: Eukaryota; Viridiplantae; Streptophyta; Magnoliopsida; Fabales; Fabaceae
Description: Pisum sativum (pea) long non-coding RNA (PSAT_LNC031308)
Source: RNAcentral
UGACCCUUUGGAUGAUGCCACGUCAAUUAAUGAAUCAGAUCCAAUGGGCGCUGAUUUUUAUUAUUUUUCUAUUUUCUGUUUUAUUUCUUUUAAUUCCUUUUAAUUUCAAAAAUUCAUAAUGAUUUUAUUUGAAGUCACAAAAAUAUGAGACCAAUGGCAAAAAAAAACUUGAAAAAUCUAGUUUCAUAAUCUAAUUUUUAAUUAUUUUUGUGACUUCAUUUAAUAUUUUUUGUGAAUUAC